Molecule: ribosomal RNA, 449 nt
Filed under: uncultured bacterium
Lineage: Bacteria
Description: bacterial SSU rRNA
Rfam family: Bacterial small subunit ribosomal RNA
Source: RNAcentral
GGCCAGACUCCUACGGGAGGCAGCAGGGGGGGAUAUUGCACAAUGGGGGGAACCCUGAUGCAGCGACGCCGCGUGGGUGAAGGAGUGCUUCGGCAUGUAAAGCCCUAUCGGCAGGGAAGAAGCAAGACGGUACCUGAAUAAGAAGCCCCGGCUAACUACGUGCCAGCAGCCGCGGUAAUACGUAUGGAGCAAGCGUUAUCCGGAUUUACUGGGUGUAAAGGGAGCGCAGGCGGCACGGCAAGCCUGAUGUGAAAGCCCGCGGCCCAACCGCGGGACUGCAUUGGGAACUACCGGGCUGGAGUGCCGGAGAGGUAGGCGGAAUUCCUAGUGUAGCGGUGAAAUGCGUAGAUAUUAGGAGGAACACCAGUGGCGAAGGCGGCCUGCUGGACGGUGACUGACGCUGAGGCUCGAAAGCGUGGGGAGCAAACAGGAGUAGAUACCCGAGUACC